This 619-nucleotide long non-coding RNA is filed under the name Solanum tuberosum (potato). Its description in RNAcentral is "long non-coding RNA (STUB_LNC010003)". Lineage: Eukaryota; Viridiplantae; Streptophyta; Magnoliopsida; Solanales; Solanaceae. The record is from RNAcentral.
GUAGGGUUUUUUAAUGGACCCCGACUGCCUGAAGCUUUCAGUUAAGUUUUGUUAUAUUAUCAAGAACUAGAUGGUUUAUAGGUUAACACUAUAUCCAAAUGUUUCAUCAAGUUGCUCAAUGUGUUUUCAUCAUUUCCCAUGCUUUUUUUUUGUGCAGUGUUAAAAUUGUACACUGCAGAAACUCUCAUUAUCAAGUAGGUGACAAGUAUUAUAAAGAUGGAAACCCUACUGCAAAAAUUUAUUUCCUGUAUGAAAGAACUAGUGUAUGAGAAGUUUUUGAGAUGUUGGAGUGAGUGGUGGCAGUGUGUUAUACUACAUUGAAUUAGAAUGUGAUUGAUGUAAUGUUGUGAAGUGGUAGGCCCAAAAGUUUGGCAAUAAUGGUAAUAAAAAAUAGGAAAAGGAUGAGAGAGCAUCUUGUGGACUACUUUGUUUAGUAUUUUCUUCUGAAGGUGGAGUAUCUAUGUGGCUGUCUUCGUGUUGAGGUUUCUUUCCUGACAUGUUGUGGCCAUAGUAUAUGAACAGUAGAAAUCCUUGUUCACCAUGCGAGCAAACUUUUUCUGUCCAGUCAGCUUAAGUAUUUGUGGGCAGAGUUAUUCAGUAUUUGUGUUGUGUAGGCGGG